GGGACACCCUUAUGGAGCAGGACUUGCUUCAGAGGGGUUUUGCUGCUCACUGAGUCUGCCCCUUGAGUGUGUAGCU
RNAcentral lists this microRNA precursor (76 nucleotides) under Myotis lucifugus (little brown bat). RNAcentral's name for it is "mir-9229 microRNA precursor family". It matches the Rfam family "mir-9229 microRNA precursor family". The record is from Rfam by way of RNAcentral. Lineage: Eukaryota; Metazoa; Chordata; Mammalia; Chiroptera; Vespertilionidae.